This 214-nucleotide long non-coding RNA is filed under the name Elaeis guineensis (African oil palm). RNAcentral's name for it is "long non-coding RNA (EGUI_LNC011407)". Lineage: Eukaryota; Viridiplantae; Streptophyta; Magnoliopsida; Arecales; Arecaceae. The record is from RNAcentral.
AAGGAGAUGACAAUGGUCUAUCGAUUAGCUGGUUUCCGACAGCCGUCGGUAGGAUUUGUAGAGGAGAGCGCCAGAAGGGGUGUAAGUGAAAUUAAGGUAAACUUAAGGGGAUGUCCGUACAAUUUUCUUUAAUUAAAAUCAAGGAUAAUUUUGUCAUUUCAAAAAAAUAAUACAUCACAUGAGGGUCAUGUGACAACAUUCCAUUAAUAGAGAU